This 86-nucleotide transfer RNA is filed under the name Tepidiphilus thermophilus. RNAcentral describes it as "tRNA_Leu_TAA". It matches the Rfam family "tRNA". From Rfam's summary of the family: Transfer RNA (tRNA) molecules are approximately 80 nucleotides in length. Their secondary structure includes four short double-helical elements and three loops (D, anti-codon, and T loops). Lineage: Bacteria; Pseudomonadati; Pseudomonadota; Hydrogenophilia; Hydrogenophilales; Hydrogenophilaceae. The record is from RNAcentral.
GCCAGGGUGGUGAAAUCGGUAAACACAGCGGACUUAAAAUCCGCCGCCGCGAGGCUUGGGGGUUCGAAUCCCCUCCCUGGGCACCA